This 354-nucleotide long non-coding RNA is filed under the name Homo sapiens (human). Its description in RNAcentral is "LNC_000487". The record is from RNAcentral. Lineage: Eukaryota; Metazoa; Chordata; Mammalia; Primates; Hominidae.
GCACCAUACAAAAACAAAUUUCAUCAAAGCUUUCAGUCUUACAGUAUAUACAGCAAUGCAUUCAUAUUGUAAAAGGGUAUUUUUUUGUGUACAGAUGAAGCAAAACAAUAUUUUUACUGGCUGAAACAAAAAGUGGAACAAAGUCUCCAACAAUAGAGGUCAGUGGCACCUACUCCUGUGUGGCUUUUGUCUCUUUACUGAGCAAGAGGCUUGUUUUAGGUUUUCUUUGUCCUCUGUUCUAGUUCAUGCUGGUGUUUAAUAAGACGUUCUAUUUCUGUUCCAAGUGUUUGUAGAUUUUCCUUCAAAGUAAUAUUUUUUAGUAACGUAUCCUCCAAAACAGCCUGUAAUUUUCGG